RNAcentral lists this ribosomal RNA (482 nucleotides) under uncultured bacterium. RNAcentral describes it as "partial 16S ribosomal RNA". It matches the Rfam family "Bacterial small subunit ribosomal RNA", at positions 30 to 505 of the family's 1533-position model. The record is from RNAcentral.
AUUGAACGCUGGCGGCAGGCCUAACACAUGCAAGUCGAGCGGAUGAAGGGAGCUUGCUCCUGGAUUCAGCGGCGGACGGGUGAGUAAUGCCUAGGAAUCUGCCUGGUAGUGGGGGAUAACGUCCGGAAACGGGCGCUAAUACCGCAUACGUCCUGAGGGGGAAAGUGGGGGAUCUUCGGACCUCACGCUAUCAGAUGAGCCUAGGUCGGAUUAGCUAGUUGGUGGGGUAAAGGCCUACCAAGGCGACGAUCCGUAACUGGUCUGAGAGGAUGAUCAGUCACACUGGAACUGAGACACGGUCCAGACUCCUACGGGAGGCAGCAGUGGGGAAUAUUGGACAAUGGGCGAAAGCCUGAUCCAGCCAUGCCGCGUGUGUGAAGAAGGUCUUCGGAUUGUAAAGCACUUUAAGUUGGGAGGAAGGGCAGUAAGUUAAUACCUUGCUGUUUUGACGUUACCAACAGAAUAAGCACCGGCUAACUUCG